Molecule: unclassified non-coding RNA, 215 nt
Filed under: uncultured Ramaria
Lineage: Eukaryota; Fungi; Basidiomycota; Agaricomycetes; Gomphales; Gomphaceae
Description: sequence contains ITS2
Source: RNAcentral
AGCCAUCCCUCGACCCGACUCCUUGGUAGAGUCUGGGUUGGAUUUGGACGUCUGCGGGGGCCCUCUCGCUCGUCUUUAAAUGCAUCAGCUGGCCCCUCACUUCGGGUCGGACCGAUCGACGGUGUGAUAAUAACAAAUCGAACGCCGUUUUGGCCCGACUUUUGCGUGGGGUCGCUUCUAACCCCGGUUCCCCUCGUUUUGGGACCGAUUCGACC